RNAcentral lists this unclassified non-coding RNA (530 nucleotides) under Hevea brasiliensis (rubber tree). The record is from RNAcentral. Lineage: Eukaryota; Viridiplantae; Streptophyta; Magnoliopsida; Malpighiales; Euphorbiaceae.
GGCAUAUCAUCUUCCACAUGUGGGGCUUUAUCUCUACGAUAAUCCCCGCAAUGGCGUCUCAUUUGUGCCUUCCAUCCCACUAGAGCACUCACUGAUACAAGUAGUUGGCAUUACUGAAUUGGGUGCUUAUCUUGAAGCAGCUUCCAAUGUCAUCCCAUUUACUCCCCCAGCUCGUUCUGUCUUCAUCAGGCCAGCAUCUGCACCUCUUUAUAUUACAGUGGCUACCCUUAUGGAGAAAAUCGUCGGCCCUCUUUCGACCGGCUUGCUAAGGCUUGCUUCGACAGACGUCAGAGUGAACCCAAUUGUUAGAUUCAAUUACUUUUCUCAUCCGAUAGAUGUAGAAAGGUGUGUAAAUGGAACAAGAAAGAUUGGAGAUGUUCUUAGGAGUCGGUCCAUGGAGGAAUUUAUGUUCCGUGAAUGGUUCGGAGCUCGACGUUUCAGAUUCAUAGGGCCUGCAUUGCCUGUUGAUCAAUCUGAUUAUGUGCAGAUGGCUGAUUUUUGUCGCAGAACUGUUAGCACCAUAUGGCAUU